UACAGAGGUCCCGAGCGUUGUUCGGAUUUAUUGGGCGUAAAGGGUGCGUAGGCGGCGGAGUAAGUUGGGUGUGAAAUCCCCGGGCUUAACCUGGGAAUGGCAUUGAGGACUGCACGGCUAGAGUGUGGCAGAGGGGGGUGGAAUUCCGCGUGUAGCAGUGAAAUGCGUAGAGAUGCGGAGGAACACCGAUGGCGAAGGCAGCCCCCUGGGCUAACACUGACACUCAUGCACGAAAGCGUGGGGAGCAAACAGG
Molecule: ribosomal RNA, 253 nt
Filed under: uncultured bacterium
Lineage: Bacteria
Description: partial 16S ribosomal RNA
Rfam family: Bacterial small subunit ribosomal RNA
Source: RNAcentral